RNAcentral lists this ribosomal RNA (391 nucleotides) under uncultured bacterium. Its description in RNAcentral is "bacterial SSU rRNA". It matches the Rfam family "Bacterial small subunit ribosomal RNA", at positions 28 to 421 of the family's 1533-position model. The record is from RNAcentral.
GACGAACGCUGGCGGCGUGCUUAACACAUGCAAGUCGAGCGGUAAGGCCCUUUCGGGGGUACACGAGCGGCGAACGGGUGAGUAACACGUGGGUGACCUGCCCUCAGCUCUGGGAUAAGCCUGGGAAACCGGGUCUAAUACCGGAUAUGACUCCAUGACGCAUGUUGUGGGGUGGAAAGCCUUGUGCGGCUGAGGAUGGGCCCGCGGCCUAUCAGCUUGUUGGUGGGGUGAUGGCCUACCAAGGCGACGACGGGUAGCCGGCCUGAGAGGGCGACCGGCCACACUGGGACUGAGACACGGCCCAGACUCCUACGGGAGGCAGCAGUGGGAAUCUUGCGCAAUGGGCGAAAGCCUGACGCAGCGACGCCGCGUGAGGGAUGACGGCCUGUGU